UUUUUCUUUCUUUUUUUAAUUUGGUGUUAUUUGAGUUUUUAAUGUAAAUUGUCUCUUGUUUGUUUUGUUUUAUCUCAUCAAAUGUAAAUGUAGCCAUGGGUAAGGCCAAAACAAUACUUUGGCUACAUUAUGUGGGGAUGCCUCCUAGAAGAGGACUCGGGCGGAGAGUCCCACGAGGGGUUCGUUGACGUGUAAGCCGCUUAUUGGGUCGUCACGUGCGUCUUCACGUGCGUCUUAAACAACAAUUCUAUUUGCUAAUAAGUGGUUUUAAUUCAAUACAACCAAUCAGAGCUCUUUGGUUUGUGGAGGUGGAACAAAAAAGUACCUCAUUAAGACAUUAACUAGGAUACACAAUGUAUGCUUAGAGAGAUUGCAACUUUAUAAAAAGAGAGAGAGAUUAGUACUAUUAUCCUUUUCCGGUGUUUAAACAAACGACACCGUUUUAGAGCAAAGGCUGAAAAAACGUGCAUCCCAUCUAUAAAAGCUUGGCCAGUUUUGAUGACUAAAUACUUUCCGGCCCAUCAACCACCGUGAAGGCUUCUCUUUACCGUAAGGCUACGGAUUUGGAUCUCCUUCCUCAUGGAGCUGACUCAAUGUUCGAGUCUGAUGCUUCCAGAUCCAUAACGAGAUUCAGAAAUAGUGUUUCUACGCUGAAGGAAAUGCAUGAUCAGAUCAUAGCUCAAGCGGAAGAACUCAAGAAAGCUUUGUAUAAGAAAAGGGAACAAGAACAUCACUUGCGACCAACAAGGCUAAUGACCGUGAAAGGGAGAAGGUUAUGCAGUAAACUGGCACUUUGCUCUGACUUCACUUUUUUUUUUUUUUUCAGGUUUCUGCCAUAUGUACCACUUGAGUGGAUUUUGUCUCUUGUAGCUUUUCUUGGCUAACCAAGAGAAGUUCUACAAAUAAGUUGACAAGCACUGCUGGAAAGCAAUCUUCCCAUGUGUGGUUCCCAACAUUAAGAAAAACAUAGAGAAGAACAAGCAACCUUCAGUGAUGGUUAAUUUAGUUAGGAUCCUAAACCUGGGGUGACUAAACAAUAAUGUGGCUGUGUUUCUUGAAGCUCAAGACGAAUUUUCCACCACGUAUAAUAAUGCCACUUCCUCCAUCCUAAGUCUCCAAUAAAAACAGGGAAAAAGGAUACUAAAAGUGAAAACCGAUGUCAGGACAACUGUUAGGAGCCAAAAUCAGUUAGGAACAAACACAGAGACGCAGUUCUGAAACUGAGUGGAACGUGAAGCUUCGGAGACUAUUUUAUACUUAUUGGGUUUCAAGAGAGGAACAUAAGAAGAGAUAUAUACUCUGGAGAUUCUGGUACAAAUUCAAUGCUCUCUCUAAAGUAGUGUGCUGAAUAUUCAUAUGAUACAUUAUUGUGUAAUGUCCCACAAUAGAAAGAGAUAGUGAUAAAUAUUCAUGUGAUAUA
Molecule: long non-coding RNA, 1420 nt
Organism: Camelina sativa (false flax)
Lineage: Eukaryota; Viridiplantae; Streptophyta; Magnoliopsida; Brassicales; Brassicaceae
Source: RefSeq, a predicted model, not a curated record